This 509-nucleotide ribosomal RNA is filed under the name uncultured bacterium. Its description in RNAcentral is "bacterial SSU rRNA". It matches the Rfam family "Bacterial small subunit ribosomal RNA", at positions 32 to 524 of the family's 1533-position model. The record is from RNAcentral.
AACGCUGGCGGCGUGCCUAACACAUGCAAGUCGAACGGGGAGUUAGCAAUAACUCCUAGUGGCGAACGGGUGAGUAACGCGUAGAUAACCUGCCUCUAAGCUGGGGACAACACCUGGAAACGGGUGCUAAUACCGAAUGUUGUAUCAUGGUUGCAUAAUCGUGAUACUAAAGGUGGCCUCUGAAUAUGCUAUCGCUUAGAGAUGGGUCUGCGUCUGAUUAGCUAGUUGGUGGGGUAAAAGCCUACCAAGGCGACGAUCAGUAGCCGGUCUGAGAGGAUGAACGGCCACACUGGGACUGAGACACGGCCCAGACUCCUACGGGAGGCAGCAGUGGGGAAUCUUCCGCAAUGGACGAAAGUCUGACGGAGCAACGCCGCGUGAGUGAAGAAGGUUUUCGGAUCGUAGAGCUCUGUCUUUAGGGAAGAAUGUCAGCUUUGUGAAUAAUGAGGUUGAAUGACGGUACCUGAGGAGGAAGCCACGGCUAACUACGUGCCAGCAGCCGCGGUAAU